RNAcentral lists this ribosomal RNA (1686 nucleotides) under Triticum aestivum (bread wheat). RNAcentral describes it as "partial small subunit ribosomal RNA". Lineage: Eukaryota; Viridiplantae; Streptophyta; Magnoliopsida; Poales; Poaceae. The record is from RNAcentral.
AUGGAGGUGGCCGCCUCGUGGCCAUGGAGGGCUCGCCAGCCGCCUCCGGAGUCCCACAUCCCCAAGAUCGACUGGAUUGCAGCCGCCUGGCCGAGGUCGUCGGCCCUCGACGGGCUGGCACUACCUCGCCUGUGCUUGCUCCCGUCCAUGCCGCCGCCACACUUCCUCUUCCACUCCGCGUACUCCUGGUUGCAGCCCCUGCUCGCCACAGGCAGGGAUCAGCGGCUCGCCGGCGUGGCGCGUGGCAGCGGAGAGAAGGGGGGCAAGAUCGGCGAGGCAGAGUUCUUCCGGAAGGACGGCGUGGUGGGCGACAUGGAGGGAUACCUCAACUACCUGUCCCUCGAGUAUGACUUCGUCUCGGACACCAAUCCUGCUUGGGGAAGGCGGGAGAGGGCGCCAUCGGCAUCUCUGUCCUCCUCUACUUGGUGGCCGCCAUGUACGCAGAAGACCAUGAGGUCGCCGGGUCCGUCGCUGGCUGACCGAAGCAGGGUACCCAGACUCUGCCGUCGGUCGCGAGCCUCGCCGUCUACCUUCACCAGCCACCCCGAACGCCGUUUGUCCGGCUGGGCGGGGAAGGAGCGACGAUUCGGAGAUGUAGCAGAGCGCUUGGCCGCAGCUGCUCUCGGCACGCGACGGCGUGCCCCGCGUCCAGAGGCUCGCCUCGGCGCCCACAUCGUCCUCCUACUACUUCUCGGUGCCGCUGACCCGGCGGGAGCCGAGGGAGGUGACGUACAUCCAGAGCGUCUGCGCGCAGAUGAUCCGGCUCUGGUGCUCCAUCCCCGCCAGGCGCAGCGCGAAAUCUGGAAGAGUUAUUUGAACAAAAUAGCCAGGGAUGCUGUCCAGCUGAUGCUUGGUAUCCACUCGAAGUUCAUCAUCCAAUGUAUUGAGGAUCUCUCGAUGAUGAUCAGCAGUAUUGCAAGUUCGGCAGAAAUAAGUGAAUACUGCAUGGGAAGGUAUGAUCUUGAUGGCCUCUAUGCUGCUAUCACGUCAGGAACUGGGGUGGAUAUUGUUAGGAAGGGCAUAUUGUUGUACAUCUAUGCCUGCCUGCACUAUGCACCAUUUCAUUCACACGGGAAGGCGUACACCUUGAAACAGACACCUGAUGGCCUGGCAAGUUCUACUCCUGAAAUCAACGUCUAUGGCUUGAUUUUUGAAAUAGACACAAUCAUGAGCCGCGACAUCCAACCAACAGACCCACGUGUGCCGACCAAACUAAGGAGACGCCGGCGCCACUUCCCCAAAUCUCCCUUCCAUUCGAGCGAGGUGAUGAGGGAAAGAACUGGUUGUGGUGAAAGUCAGUUUAGUGCAUCAAGGAUUGGAGUGAACCCUGCCUGCAACCUCACAUUCAUGUUUCUCUGCUGCGUAUGCCCGCUCCAAGAACCCGAGCUAGCCGCCUCGCCGGCGGCCCAUCCCAGUCUAUCUCGUCGCGUCUCUGCUCCCGUACCCCGCCACCCCACUGCUCCUCCGUUACCUUGUCGUAAGUCGUUUUUAUUCCCACUGGCUGGGCAUUGUGACCAUGGCCGCUCCCAUGGACUGAGCGCUAGCACGCCCGAUCUCACUCGCCGCCCAUGCCCCCACGUGCUGCAGCGAACACAUGGUUGCAAAGUCUCUUCUGCAGAAUGUGAUCGUGGAUGCAUUUACAACCUGCUUGAAAAAAUCAGGCAUGUUCAAAAGACGACCCCCUAA